RNAcentral lists this transfer-messenger RNA (394 nucleotides) under bacterium. It matches the Rfam family "transfer-messenger RNA". Rfam says of the family: Bacterial tmRNA, also known as 10Sa RNA or SsrA, is named for its dual tRNA and mRNA-like properties. Its role is to liberate the mRNA from a stalled ribosome. To accomplish this part of the tmRNA is used as a reading frame that ends in a translation stop signal. RNAcentral also lists the same sequence under 1 other name. The record is from RNAcentral.
GGGGACGUUUUGGAUUUGACAGGACGUUCGGUGGAAAUAGACUGCGAGUCGGAGAGCUGUUCUCCGUUAUCAACGGGCAAAACAAAUUAAAUGCUAACAACAUUGUUGAAGCAGACUUCACUCCUGCAAGAUAUGCAGUUGCAGCGUAGUUCUGUGUAGCUCCUUAUAAAGCCCAGCUUGCCGGUUUUAUAGGGCCAUUAUGCAAGCGGCAGUGAACAGAUGACGAUAUGUUCAUCAAGAUUAAUCGUCAAAAGUUAGUGUUUCUUUAAAAAACACUUUGAGCCUCACAACAGGUUAAGAUAUUUCCCGGAGGCUUGAGCGAAUAAUAUCUACACUCGUAGACGUUUAUUGAAAUCCGUUUUGGACAGGGGUUCAACUCCCCUCGUCUCCACCA